UGGGGAAUUUUGGACAAUGGGCGCAAGCCUGAUCCAGCCAUGCCGCGUGCGGGAAGAAGGCCUUCGGGUUGUAAACCGCUUUUGUCAGGGAAGAAAUCUUCUGAGUUAAUACCUCGGGAGGAUGACGGUACCUGAAGAAUAAGCACCGGCUAACUACGUGCCAGCAGCCGCGGUAAUACGUAGGGUGCAAGCGUUAAUCGGAAUACUGGGCGUAAAGCGUGCGCAGGCGGUUUUGUAAGACAGAGGUGAAAUCCCCGGGCUCAACCUGGGAACUGCCUUUGUGACUGCAAGGCUUGAGUGCGGCAGAGGGGGAUGGAAUUCCGCGUGUAGCAGUGAAAUGCGUAGAUAUGCGGAGGAACACCGAUGGCGAAGGCAAUCCCCUGGGCCUGCACUGACGCUCAUGCACGAAAGCGUGGGGAGCAAACAGGAUUAGAUACCCUGGUAGUCCACGCCCUAAACGAUGUCAACUGGUUGUUGGGAAGGUUCCUUCUCAGUAACGUAGCUAACGCGUGAAGUUGACCGCCUGGGGAGUACGGCCGCAAGGUUGAAACUCAAAUGAAUUGACGGGGUCAUAGCUGUUUCCUG
This 585-nucleotide ribosomal RNA is filed under the name uncultured bacterium. RNAcentral's name for it is "partial 16S ribosomal RNA". It matches the Rfam family "Bacterial small subunit ribosomal RNA", at positions 355 to 1376 of the family's 1533-position model. The record is from RNAcentral.